ACAAGGUCAGAAUGGACAUGGGGAUACUGUGUAUACAGACACUAAAAGAAAGAGCCUGGAACAUCCCUGUAGCCAUCCCUGAACAUUAUAAAAUAAACCAAUUUAAGUUCAUUAUAGAUAUAGACCAAUGCAAGUGGAUCUGUAUUAUAAACCCGAAAUCCAGUCUCCAUGCCACAUGCAAAGCAUCCUGGGGCAAAAUAAGGAAUCUUGAAACAAACAAUGGCAAGCAAUUUGCUGAGAAUAUUAAACUAUUGCCCCUGAUUCCUGCAAAACUCAUCCUGGUUUAGUCAUCGUCCUGCUGUGUUAGAAGCCCAGGCAGAACACAAUGCAAGGGGAUCAGAAAGAGGAAAAGAUGUGAAUCAGGAUUACUCACUUUUUAUUCUUGGUGGGUUUACAUCAUAUUUUAAGUUAUGUUGUAAUCACCACAUACACACACACGGACACUUACUCUUCUUUGUAGCUGCUGAGCUCAUUACUAUUGCAGCACUUCCACAUUGAGCCACAAGGGACUACUACUAACUUGAUUCAGCCCGACACAGACCCACAAUGCAAUUCUGUGAGAGUCACGAGAAGAUUCCGUGAUCAGCCUUGAACAGCAGCUGCCUCUGAUGUUUGUACAAUGAGGCUACUAUAUAGCCUUGCAGGCUGUGCCUGGGUGUAAAUGUGAACUGUAUGUCAACAAGAAUAAAAGUGCACAACUGAACUAAAA
Long non-coding RNA from Xenopus laevis (African clawed frog), 709 nucleotides. RefSeq lists it as uncharacterized. The transcript has 2 exons. The record is from RefSeq and is a predicted model, not a curated record. NCBI's taxonomy places the organism in Eukaryota, Metazoa, Chordata, Amphibia, Anura, Pipidae.